Molecule: ribosomal RNA, 264 nt
Filed under: uncultured Calothrix sp.
Lineage: Bacteria; Bacillati; Cyanobacteriota; Cyanophyceae; Nostocales; Calotrichaceae
Description: partial 16S ribosomal RNA
Rfam family: Bacterial small subunit ribosomal RNA
Source: RNAcentral
CGUGCCAGCAGCCGCGGUAAUACGGAGGAUGCAAGCGUUAUCCGGAAUGAUUGGGCGUAAAGCGUCCGCAGGUGGUUUUGAAAGUCUGCUGUUAAAGCGUCAGGCUCAACCUGAUAAGGGCAGUGGAAACUAUGAGACUAGAGUGCGUUAGGGGCAGAGGGAAUUCCCAGUGUAGCGGGGAAAUGCGUAGAGAUUGGGAAGAACACCGGUGGCGAAGGCGCUCUGCUAUACCGUAACUGACACUGAGGGACGAAAGCUAGGGGA